This is an RNA transcript of Malaclemys terrapin pileata, 1957 nucleotides long. It is a transcript of the gene named mitogen-activated protein kinase 11, with no coding region annotated. The transcript is spliced from 14 exons. Lineage: Eukaryota; Metazoa; Chordata; Testudines; Emydidae. The record is from RefSeq and is a predicted model, not a curated record.
CAGGAAUUGAACAAGACGGUGUGGGAGGUUCCCCAGCGCUACCAGAACCUGACCCCGGUGGGCUCCGGAGCCUACGGCUCUGUGUGAGCCUGGGAGCCCCUAGUCAUGAGCCAGGACCCCACCGUGCAAGACAAUGUACAAAAUCAGAACAAAAAGAUGGUCCCUGCCUGAAAGAGCAUGGAAUCUAAAUAUGGGACAAGACAGCGGAUGGAUACGGACUUACAGGGUGCACAAGGAAACAAUGAGACUAUGUUGUUCAACUUAUGAUACCAAAACAAGACAGAAGGUGGCAGUAAAAAAGCUUUCAAGACCUUUUCAGUCACUUAUUCAUGCAAGAAGAACCUACCGAGAGCUUAGGUUGCUUAAGCACAUGAAACAUGAAAAUGUUAUAGGAUUACUAGAUGUUUUUACACCAGCAACUUCAAUAGAAAAUUUUAAUGAAGUGUAUCUUGUGACAAAUUUAAUGGGUGCUGACUUGAAUAAUAUUGUAAAGUGCCAGAAGCUAACAGAUGACCAUAUACAGUUUCUCAUCUACCAGUUACUUAGAGGUCUUAAGUAUAUUCACUCAGCUGGAAUCAUUCACCGGGACUUGAAACCCAGUAACCUAGCUGUAAAUGAAGACUGUGAAUUAAGGAUUUUAGACUUUGGUUUAGCCCGACAAACUGAUGAUGAAAUGACUGGAUAUGUAGCAACAAGAUGGUACAGAGCCCCAGAAAUUAUGUUAAACUGGAUGCACUAUAAUCAAACAGUUGACAUUUGGUCAGUGGGAUGCAUCAUGGCAGAGCUAUUGAAAGGCAAGGCUCUUUUUCCAGGAAAUGACUAUAUUGACCAACUAAAGAGAAUAAUGGAAGUUGUGGGAACACCCAGUUCUGAACUUCUCAAGAAAAUAUCAUCGGAACAUGCUAGAAAAUACAUUGAAUCUCUACCACAUAUGCCUCAACAGGAUUUGAAAGCAGUAUUUCGUGGUGCCAACCCUUUAGCUGUAGAUCUUCUUGAGAAGAUGCUUAUAUUAGACAGUGAUAAAAGAAUAACUGCCUCAGAAGCACUCGCACAUGCUUACUUUGUUCAGUAUCAUGAUCCUGACGAUGAGCCUGAGGCCGAACUAUAUGAUGAGUCGAUAGAAAAUAAAGAACGAACCAUAGAUGAAUGGAAAGAGAUUACGUAUGAAGAAAUGAUUAGCUUUAAACCACCUGAUUUAAAAAUGGAUAGCCUGGAAAUAGAACAGUAAAUACAACCAGCUGUGUUUUGCCAUGCUGCACUAUCAAGACUGUUGAAAACAUAGCAUUACAAUUUAACCUAUAUUCCCAAGAGUAGAUUUCACUAUCCAAAGAUGUUGGAGAAGGAAUGGAAGAGCAGUCAAUCCAUGAGAGGCCAACGUAAUAAUUGAGAUGAAAAAACAAAGCAGGGAUAAGACUUAAGAAGAGUCUGGACAUUUGUGAAAAGCAAAAUAUCAUAAUCUCAUUGGAAUUGCAUUUUAAGCAGUAUUUUAAAAGGCCCAAUGUCUCUGAAGAGUUAGACGAACUAAAUUUAAAGCUAAUUCAUAGCAGGAUAUAGCCGAUGCCAAGAUGUCUUAAAGAAUUAACCCUAUAAUCUCAUUUAUCCCUGGAAGUGUAACCAUGAUAAAGGAACAUUAUUAUUAACAUCUUUUGGUCUGAGAUCCUCUGGUUAAUAUAUGGCCAUAUUUGUCUCAUUCUUUAGUGAUUCACAAUUGCAAAACCAGUAGAUGCUGUCCAUUUUUUGUGUAAUUUGUCAUGCCAUGUCUCAUUAUGUCAGUGUCUCAUUUCGGGGGGUUGCUUGUUUUCAUAUUAAUGUUGUUACUUUGUUUUGCUGUGAUGACUUUGUCAUUAGUUUGGCUUGUACAGCUAUUCUAUCAGCUGAUGAAUUUGAACACAUUUGUUUACUUUCUCUGUAUUUUUGCUGUUUGAUCUUGUUUCUUAAUAAACAACUACAAAAAAAG